CUGGCCUUGACAUCCACGGAAUUCGGCAGAGAUGCCUUAGUGCCUUCGGGAACAUUGAGACAGGUGCUGCAUGGCUGUCGUCAGCUCGUGUUGUGAAAUGUUGGGUUAAGUCCCGCAACGAGCGCAACCCUUAUCUUUUGUUGCCAGCGGUCCGGCCGGGAACUCAAAGGAGACUGCCAGUGAUAAACUGGAGGAAGGUGGGGAUGACGUCAAGUCAUCAUGGCCCUUACGACCAGGGCUACACACGUGCUACAAUGGCGCAUACAAAGAGAAGCGACCUCGCGAGAGCAAGCGGACCUCAUAAAGUGCGUCGUAGUCCGGAUUGGAGUCUGCAACUCGACUACGUGAAGCUGGAAUCGCUAGUAAUCGCGGAUCAGCAUGCCGCGGUGAAUACGUUCCC
RNAcentral lists this ribosomal RNA (400 nucleotides) under uncultured bacterium. RNAcentral describes it as "bacterial SSU rRNA". It matches the Rfam family "Bacterial small subunit ribosomal RNA", at positions 975 to 1375 of the family's 1533-position model. The record is from RNAcentral.